Molecule: ribosomal RNA, 578 nt
Filed under: uncultured bacterium
Lineage: Bacteria
Description: bacterial SSU rRNA
Rfam family: Bacterial small subunit ribosomal RNA
Source: RNAcentral
CCUACGGGAGGCAGCAGUGAGGAAUAUUGGUCAAUGGGCGGAAGCCUGAACCAGCCAUCCCGCGUGCAGGAAGAAGGCGCUAAGCGUUGUAAACUGCUUUUGCAGGGGAAGAAACUUCCGGUUGCGACCGGGACUGACGGUACCCUGUGAAUAAGCAUCGGCUAACUCCGUGCCAGCAGCCGCGGUAAUACGGAGGAUGCGAGCGUUAUCCGGAUUCACUGGGUUUAAAGGGUGCGUAGGCGGGCUGAUAAGUCAGUGGUGAAAUUUUACAGCUUAACUGUAAACGUGCCAUUGAUACUGUCAGUCUUGAGUGUGGUCAAGGUAGGCGGAAUGUGUAAUGUAGCGGUGAAAUGCUUAGAUAUUACACAGAACACCGAUUGCGAAGGCAGCUUACUGGGCCACCACUGACGCUGAGGCACGAAAGCGUGGGGAGCAAACAGGAUUAGAUACCCUGGUAGUCCACGCUGUAAACGAUGAUCACUCGCUGUUGGCGAUAUACUGUCAGUGGCUAAGCGAAAGCAUUAAGUGAUCCACCUGGGGAGUACGGCGGCAACGUUGAAACUCAAAUGAAUUGACGG